Molecule: long non-coding RNA, 283 nt
Organism: Lynx canadensis (Canada lynx)
Lineage: Eukaryota; Metazoa; Chordata; Mammalia; Carnivora; Felidae
Exons: 3
Source: RefSeq, a predicted model, not a curated record
AGGAUUCUACCUAUGCAACUACCACCCUGAAGAUAAUAAGAAGCUCCCUCAGCUCCUUUCCUGUCAGCAACUAGCCACCUUCACCCCCAGCAGGUAAAAGGAAAAUCAGCUGGAACUUCAAUCAACCAAUGUUACCAUAAACAAAAGAAGAACUUACAUAUUUGGGGUUAAUAUGUGAAGAACUCAUAGGUUUUAUGACCAACAAUAUAUUGCAAUCCAAGGGAAAAAAUGGAAGCAUUAUGAGCCAUUUUCAAAGGCUGUCUCACAAAAUGCACGCUGUAAU